Non-coding RNA from Triticum aestivum (bread wheat), 135 nucleotides. Lineage: Eukaryota; Viridiplantae; Streptophyta; Magnoliopsida; Poales; Poaceae. The record is from Rfam.
CAUAUACUCCCUCCAUCCGGAAAUACUUGUCAUCAAAAUAAACAAAAGGGGAUGUAUCUAGAUGUAUUUUAGUUCUACAUACAUUCCUUUUUAUUCAUUUUGAUGACAAGUAUUUUCGGACGGAGGGAGUAGUAU